UAGAACUUGAAAUCGGCCCCAAUUAAUCGGCCAUUCCGAUUAAUCGGUCGACCUAUAGUACUGACUCUGUUAGUGGAAUGGACUGACCUUUAGUAUAGAUGCCUGCAAAUCACAUACUAAUUUCAGUCUCAAUUCCUGGUGUUUCUGUAACAUGCUUGUCUUCAAUGUAAAACAUUCUAUAUUCAGCUGGGCUUGUGUUGGAGAGGCUGGUUCAUUCAGUUCAGUAGAUCCCUGUGUGACAACCAACCACAGUGACCAUUUGGUAGUUGACAACACAGAAUCAUCUCAUUGACCACUGGCACCACACUAUCAGAGUCUGUUUCAGUCUCAUACAUUAAUAUGGAAAGCCCCAUCUUGGAAGAGGGUGAGGUGCAAUGUUGUCACCUUGUCGUGUGAUGAUGUUGUCACGUGUGUGUGUGUGUGUGUGUGUGUGUGUGUGUGUGUGUGUGUGCAUCCAGUGUUUUGGCCUGUGCCUGUUUAGCUGCAGUUUUGUUUUGCCGUGUCUGAUGUUUUGGCCUGUGUCUGAGGUGUUUUGGUUGUGUUAUUUGGAUUAGAGUAACAUGUUUUCUGGCCUGUAUAUAAGGUGUCACCUUUCCAGCCUGGGUUGAAGUGUAAUGUGCUGCUAUUUUCGCAGGCUGCUGUGGACACUGGUCAUACCAACAAAUUUAUGUCUGUAUGUGCAUAUGUUACCGCCGUGAAAUGGCAGGCUAGUUAGUGGUGGUGCGCGCUAAUAACGUUUCAAUCGGUGACGUCACUCGCUCUGAAACCUUGAAGUAGUUGUUUCCCUUGCUCUGCAAGGACCGUGGUUUUUGUGGAGCGAUGGGUGACGAUGCUUCGGCGGUGUCAGUAGUUGUGUUCAAAGGGUCCCUGGUUCAAGCCCAGGUAGGGGCGAGGAGAGGGACGGAAGGAAAACGGUUACACAUAUAGAUGUGUGUGUGCAAUGUACAUAUGUAGACCUAUUGUACAGAGGACCAUUCUGUAGGACAAGUGUGAUACAUGCUUUAUGAUGCUGUUGUUUUAGCACUAUGUUCUUCUCUCAGGCUGAUGAGCUGUAGAUUUCUCUCACAGAAAGACUCUCGCCUGAGCAUGACCUGUUGCCAUGGCUACAGCUAGCCACUGACAACAUCUGAUGCACAGAGAGAAAGAUCAUCCUGCAGUGCUCCACAGAUCACCCACAGGCACUGUUGGGCCAGUGCGGAGGCAAUCACACACAGCCACCGACCAUGCAUCUGACCACGGUCGACCACAGAUUGACCACAGUGUCUGCAGCUUCAUAUGUAGUACAUACAGUUGAAGUUGGAAGUUGACAGACAUUUAGGUUGGAGUCAUUAAAACUCGUUUUUCAACUACUCCACAAAUUUCUUGUUAGCAAACUAUAGUUUUGGCAAGUCUGUUAGGACAUCUACUUUGUGCAUGACACAAGUAAUUAUUCCAACAAUUGUUUACGGACAGAUUAUUUCACCUAUAACUCACUGUGUCACAAUUCCAGUGGGUCAGAAGUUUACAUACACUAAGUUGACUGUGCCUUUAAACAGCUUGGAAAAUUCCAGAAAAUAAUGCCAUGGCUUUAGAAGCUUCUGAUUGGCUAAUUGACAUAAUUUGAGUUAAUUGGAGGUGGCCUUCCUUCGAACUCAGUGCCUCUUUGCUUGACAUCAUGGUUAAAUCUAAAGAAAUCAACCAAGACCUCAGAAAAACAAUUGUGGAGACAAGUCUGGUUUCUCCUUGGGAGCAAUUUCCAAAUGCCUGAAGGUACCACGUUCAUCUUUACAAACAAUAGUAAGCAAGUAUAAACACCAUGGGACCACACAGCCGGCAUACCGCUCAGGAAGCUCUGUCUCCUAGAGAUGAACGUACUUUGGUGCGAAAAGUGCAAAUCAAUCCCCGAACAACAGCAAAGGACCUUGUGAAGAUGCUGGAGGAAACGGCUACAAAAGUAUCUAUAUCCACAGUAAAACAAGUCCUAUAUCGACAUAACCCGAAAGGCCGCUCAGCAAGGAAGAAGCCACUGCUCCAAAACCAUAAGGCCAGACUACGGUUUGCAACUGCACAUGGGGACAAAGAUCAUACUUUUUGGAGAAAGGUCCUCUGGUCUGAUGAAACAAAAAUAGAACUGUUUGUCCAUAAGGACCAUCGUUGUGUUUGGAGGAAAAACGGGGAGGCUUGCAAGCAGAAGAACACCAUCCCAACCGUGAAACAUGGGUGUCAGCAUCAUGUUGUGGGGUUGCUUUGCUGGUGCACUUCCCAAAAUAGCUGGCAUCAUGAGGCAGGAAUAUUAUGUGGAUAUAUUGAAGCAACAUCUCAAGACAUCAGUGUGAAAGCUUGGUUGCAAAUGGGUCUUCCAAAUUGUCUAUGACCCCAAGUAUCCUUCCAAAGUUGUGGCAAAAUGGCGUAAGGACAACAAAGUCAAGGUAUUGGAGUGGCCAUUUAUAAAGCCCUGACCUCAAUCCCAUAGAAAAUCUGUGGGCGGAACUGAAAAAGUGUGUGUGAGCAAGGAGGCCUACAAACCUGACUGUUACACCAGCUCUGUCAGGAGGAAUGGGCCAAAAUUCACCCAACUUAUUGUGGGAAGCUUGUGGAAGGCUACCUGAAACAUUUGACCCAAGUUGAACCAUUUUAAAGGCAAUUACACUCCAUUGGUAUUUGGUACAUGUAAACUUCUGACCCACUGAAUUUGAGGAAAGAAUUAACAGCUGAAAUAAAUAAAUCCCUCUACUGUUAUUCUGACAUUUCACAUUCUUAAAAUAAAUUGGUGAUCCGAACUGACCUAAGACAGGGAAUUUUUACGAGGAUUAAAUGUCAGGAAUGGUGAAAAACUGAGGUUAAAUGUAUUUGGCUAAGGUGUAUGUAAACUUCCGACUUCAACUAAAUAUAGCUGCAAACAAUCAAUGCUGAACCACAGUUAGACAUCGCAUCGCUUGUGGAGCACAGAGGAGGUCAAAGAAUAGCCAACCAAGGGGGAAAAAACUAUCGCCUCAAAAGCAAAAUCAGCCUUUACACCACUUUGGGCUAUAUUUGGGCAUUAUGGAAACCCAUAACAAACUCCAUGACCCUUUACCAAUUCCAGUCAGAUGACUUAGUGUGACGCACAAAUAUGAGGGGACUUUUUGUCUCUUUUUGAUCAACUGCUGUGAUUAAUGGCUGUGAAUUCCAGAGCCACAAAUCUGCAGGGGAAAGGCCUCUUUUUAAUUUAACCAGUCUUAAUCUUUGGUCUGUGGUGCUGUCUGCCUCCCCUCCAGUAACAUGCCUGUGACCCUCAUCCCUGUCAAAACCGUCCCCCCCCCCCCAGCACAGCCCCACUACUGAUAACACUGCUUGGAAUGGGUGCCGUGAACGGAGAGGAGUGAUGCGAAUGCACAGACCAGUGGAGAGUGAAGACUGUGGUCGAGCAGGCAGAGGACUGGUCCCGCGAGUGCACAGGCAGCGGGGUCGUGCAAAUUAAGUUUGAGUUGCAUGUGUGACUUUAAGUAAGCAGUACUUCUUUGCCGCAUGCAAAAUAUUAAUUUGAGAGUAGUUUAUUCAUAAUUUUUUUGCAGAGAUACUUAAACAUCUUGCUCUCGCAUCUUCAAUCUUUUACUAUCAUUUUAUUAGAGGUGAAAAUUCUAGCCAAUGAACAUGGUUGUCACUAGUUAAACACAGCCACAAAGUCAUACUUAUUAUGGCUAAACCCAGCCUAUUUCUACAAUUUAUCUUCUUAAAAUCUGUUUUUAAACUUAACCACACUGCUAACCUUUUGCCUAACCAUAACUUUAAAGUUAAGACCAAAAAGCACAUCUUUGUUUUUCAUGAAUUUUUACUAUAGAGUAAAGCUGUGUUAUCUAGUAUAAACCAGAUUUUGACGUUGAAAGGCAAUGUAACCUAACGUAGCGGGCGUUAAAAAAACAACAUUUAAAAAAAAAAAAAAAAAAGAACACCUGAGUGUAGUUCCCACGUACGGGUUUCAGCAGAAAAUAAAGCUAGAUUGUAUUUGCUGUAUCCCUAAAACCGUAUACAUCCAGUUGUUGGCAACUUCUCUCAGACUGAAGGCAAGGUGAUGGUGUAAGGACGAUGGCUGACAAUAAAAAGGUAAGCUCUAUAACCUAACCAGCCAACUAAUCAACUAGGAUUUCAGUAUUUCAAUUGAAGUAGGUAGUUAUUUGGUUUUCUGAUGUUAAAGCAGGCUAUUGAUUAGGCAAGCUAGAUCAGCGCCAGCUAGCUAGGAUAGGAUAUAGCUAGCUGAUGUUUAACCACAUAUAAAAUGUACCAGUAUCUUUGGUUAACCAAGAGCAUUGUAGCUAGCUAACUAAGUUAACGAGGGGUUGCUAGAGAAGGAGGACUUGGAAGACCAGCCAGACUGUGAGGGAGUGGUGAGAACAGACAGGGAAGGCCCUCCCUAAGGUAGAGGUGAUUGAGAUUGGGUAAGUGGGAGGCAAGCUCAAACUCUGAAAUAAAUAGCCAAUAUUAUAAACUGCAUUGAGAUAGUCUCUUUGAAAUACACUUCUGAUAACCUUUACUCUGGCAGUUUUUCUGCAGUUACAAUAAAGGAUAAUUACCUCUAACAAUCUCUCUCUCUCCAUGCAGGCCCACUGUCACUAUGUGGUGGGGAAGUUGUCCUCUGCUUCGCUGACAAAGAUAGGAGAUACAGGAGUCCACUCUAUUCCAAGUACCUUGGCUCUCCACCAUGCACAGCACUCUGGAGGCUUCAUGCAGUCGUUCUCAGGAGACGGGUGAGUGCAGAGAACAUACUGUAUGUCUGACAAAGUGGAGUCGGGCUUCUACUUCAUUGGCCAAGUUUGGAUCUGCGAGUCACCUUUGACCUUGAUGUAACUUUCAUCGAAGACUUGGGGUCAUUGGUGUUCCCUAACUCACCUUGUGACUUGCACAACUCAGCACAUAUGUACCCCUCCACCUUCCUCAGUGGAGUCCCGGCCAGGGGUAUCAAACUCCAAUGUCCAUGUACAUGUUAUGUUGGCGUAGUUACCGGACCAGUGAGAAGAGGCGUUGAUGAUAGUGAUGUGUCCCAGUGUGGUCUCCACAAACAGCCGCUGUGCCAACACCAUGCCUGAUAACGACAACCAGAUGGUAUUCCUCCACCCUGGAUCACUGCAAACACACACCUAGUCUUUUUCUCUGUGAAUAUUUGUUGCGCGUGAGAGAGUGCGUAAUGGGUCUGUAUAUGUGAGUGUGUGUUUAGUGUAGGAGAUGCGUGUGUAUUUGAGUCUACUCUGAGUCUGUAUACACCCUGUAUUACAUGCCUGUGUUUUUGUUCUUGUGUGUGAUUGUGUCAUGUUUUGUGACAUCCCUCUCUUGUCUCCUCAGAUAUUUGGUGCUCCCCGGACCAGGGUUUUUGAGGCAGGGAUGGACUACUGUUAGUCUGAGCUUGCCCCGCAGUCAGCAUACACACACAUUAACUGGAUUGUGCUAAUGCCCUACUGUAAGAACCUGGAGAUCUUCACUGGUUCUGAGGUAGGUGACCUGACCACCAACAGUUCCUGGGACACGUUCCAGCGUUACCGCUGUCUGGAGAACAUCCUGAGCGUGGUCAACAGACAUCUGCUGCAACUUCAUAUCUAGCGUGUCAGUUCUGCUGCACCAGGGAGCUAAAGGUGCCCUUCUUUGCGAGGCAUUGGAAAACCUCCCUGGUCUUUGUCGUUACGUGUGCUGGAAAUUCCAUGCUCAACUGAGGGACCUUCCAGAUAAUCAAACAGUUGGUGUGGUGUACAGAGAUGGGGUGGCUCUGGCUUGCUGAUAACAUCUGAUCUGAUGAGACUCCCUAUGAGAUUUGACUCCUGUAUUACUGCCUGUAUUCAAUACAACUUCCAAUGCCGAUUUUAAAUAAUUUGACACUGUAAUUUGAUAGACAAUGGUAGUUCCCAAUCAGACAUUUACUACCUCAGUUAAAUGUUUGGUGAAUGCAUAUUGUUGAUGUAAAAACAAUAUUUCUCCCAACCCUCCCCUUGUACUGUAAUUUGUCUCGUUGAAAAUGAUUAUUUAUGUCCACAAAUAACUGGAGUGACCCUGUGUUUUUAAACUUGGAUAUCGACUUUGCCUCUUCAACCACUCAGGGCUACAGGCCAGAUGGUUGAGUGGUCGGGAACCACCACGAACGAGCUCAUUCUCCCUGCCUGUUUCAUUCGACCUACACUACCAUUAGGCAGACACUCUGCUAGGUGGCAAAUCAGAUUUAAAAAUAUAUAUAUUGUGAUAAUUAUACUGAACAAAAAAAUAUAAACAAAAUGCAACAAUUAUACUGAGGUACAGUUAACUUAAGGAAAUCAGUCAAUGUAAAUAAAUUCAUUAGGCCCUUAUCUAUGCAUUUCACAUGGAAUGCACUUGGGAGCCAGGCCCAGCCAAUCAGAAUGAGUUUUUCCCCACAAAAGGGCUUUAUUACAGACAGAAAUGCUCAGUUUCAUCAGCGGAUGUGGAGGUCCUGGGCUGGCGUGGUUACAUGUUUUCUGGUAACAGCUCUGGUGAACAUUCUUGCAGACAACAUUCCAAUUGGACGCUUCUUCAAAUUGAGACUUAUGUGGCAUUGUGUUGUUUUCUAAAACUACACAUUUUAGUGGCCUUCUAUUGUCACCAGCACAAGGUGCCCCUGUGUAAUGUGUUUUCAUCAGCUUCUUGAAAUGCCAAACCUGUCAGGUGGGUGGAUUAUCUUGGCAAAGGAGAAAUGCUCACUGACAGGGAUGUAAACAAAUUUGUUCACAAAAUGUGAGAAAUAGGUCAGGAUCAAGGGAAAGAUGAAUGGAGCAAAGUACAGAGAGAUCUUUGAUAACCUGCUCCAGAGCACUCAGGAAAACAACCCUAAGCACACAACCAAGACAAUGCAGGAGUGGCUUCGGGACAAGUCUCAAUGUCCUUGAGUGGCCCAGCCAGAGCCCGGACUUGAACCCAAUCACACAUCUCUGGAGAGUUCUGAAAAUAGCUUUGCAGCAACACUCCCCAUCCAACCCGAUAGCUUGAGAGGAUCUGCAGAGAAGAAUGGGAGAAACACCCCAAAUACAGGUGUACGAAGCGUGUAGCGUCGUACCCAAGAAGACUUGAGUCUGUAAUCGCUGUCAAAGGUGCUUCAACACAGUACUGAGGAAAGGGUCUGAAUAAUGUAAUUGUGAUAUUUUAUUGUUUGUUUGUACAUUUGCAAAAAUGUCAAAACACCUGUUUUUGCUUUUGUCAUUAUGGGGUAUUGUGUGUAGAUUGAUGAGGGGGGGGAAACAAUUUAAUACAUUUUAGAAUAAUGCUGUAAUGGAAUGUGGAAAAGUUCUAGGGGUCUGAACACUUUCCGAAUGCACUGUAUAUACCUACAGUGCAGAUAUUUUUCAAAGUGACCGGGACAAUGAAGUCAGAUACUUAUUUACAUUGUGGUCCCUAUUAUUUAUGUAAACACACAUACAUAUAUAUAUAUAUAUCAGUGCCUUGCGAAAGUAUUCGGCCCCCUUGAAC
Oncorhynchus masou masou (cherry salmon) is the source of this 7416-nucleotide long non-coding RNA. RefSeq lists it as uncharacterized. The transcript has 5 exons. The record is from RefSeq and is a predicted model, not a curated record. NCBI's taxonomy places the organism in Eukaryota, Metazoa, Chordata, Actinopteri, Salmoniformes, Salmonidae.